UGGGCCGAGUUACCUUUGAUCAUCAGUAAGUGAGAUUGUUUCUGAUACGAUUUCGUUUUCUGGCAAUCAAAGGAACUCGACUCG
This is a non-coding RNA of Drosophila simulans, 84 nucleotides long. NCBI's taxonomy places the organism in Eukaryota, Metazoa, Arthropoda, Insecta, Diptera, Drosophilidae. The record is from Rfam.